UGGGGAAUAUUGGACAAUGGGCGCAAGCCUGAUCCAGCCAUGCCGCGUGAGUGAUGAAGGCCCUAGGGUUGUAAAGCUCUUUUACCGGUGAAGAUAAUGACGGUAACCGGAGAAGAAGCCCCGGCUAACUUCGUGCCAGCAGCCGCGGUAAUACGAAGGGGGCUAGCGUUGUUCGGAUUUACUGGGCGUAAAGCGCACGUAGGCGGACUUUUAAGUCAGGGGUGAAAUCCCGGGGCUCAACCCCGGAACUGCCUUUGAUACUGGAAGUCUUGAGUAUGGUAGAGGUGAGUGGAAUUCCGAGUGUAGAGGUGAAAUUCGUAGAUAUUCGGAGGAACACCAGUGGCGAAGGCGGCUCACUGGACCAUUACUGACGCUGAGGUGCGAAAGCGUGGGGAGCAAACAGG
Molecule: ribosomal RNA, 404 nt
Filed under: Pseudomonas sp.
Lineage: Bacteria; Pseudomonadati; Pseudomonadota; Gammaproteobacteria; Pseudomonadales; Pseudomonadaceae
Also listed under: 3 other names
Description: partial 16S ribosomal RNA
Rfam family: Bacterial small subunit ribosomal RNA
Source: RNAcentral